This 253-nucleotide ribosomal RNA is filed under the name uncultured bacterium. RNAcentral's name for it is "partial 16S ribosomal RNA". It matches the Rfam family "Bacterial small subunit ribosomal RNA", at positions 524 to 776 of the family's 1533-position model. The record is from RNAcentral.
UACAGAGGUCUCAAGCGUUAAUCGGAAUUACUGGGCUUAAAGGGUCCGCAGGCGGUCUGACAAGUACUUUGUGAAAUCCUAGGUCUCAACCCUAGAACCGCUCGGUAAACUGUCAGACUUGAGUGCAAAAGGGGUCGCUGGAACUCUAGGUGGAGCGGUGAAAUGCGUAGAUAUCUAGAGGAACGCCAAAGGUGAAGACAGGCGACUGGUUUGCAACUGACGCUCAUGGACGAAAGCGUGGGGAUCAAACGGG